RNAcentral lists this ribosomal RNA (924 nucleotides) under Triticum aestivum (bread wheat). RNAcentral describes it as "partial small subunit ribosomal RNA". The record is from RNAcentral. Lineage: Eukaryota; Viridiplantae; Streptophyta; Magnoliopsida; Poales; Poaceae.
AUGAUAUGUGUGCAUGAGUACCCUCUGUCUAUUGUUGAUCAUGCUGGAUUCCGAAAAUUUUGUGGUACUUUGCAACCAAUGUUCAAGGUGUCUAGAAAUACCAUUAGGCUGGACAUCAUAAAUAUGUUUGGUGUCCAAAAGAAUAUCAUGGUGAAGUACUUUGCAAAGUGUGAGAACCGAGUAGCCAUCACAACAGAUUUGUGGACGGCUGGCCAUCAAAAGAGGGGCUAUAUGGCUGUAACUGGACAUUAUGUUGAUGCUUCUUGGAACCUAAAGAGCUUCCUAAUGAGGUUUGUUUAUGUUCCAUGUCCACACAAUGCUGAGGUUAUAUGCGAAGCACUACAUGCAUGUCUUGUUGAGUGGCACCUUGAGAAGAAGAUAUCCACGGUGACCUUGGACAAUUGUACAUCAAAUGACAAGGCUAUGGAAAUUCUGCCAGAUAAGUUGGACACCUCUUCUCUUAUGUUGCAAGGAUCUUUGUUGCAUAUGCGUUGUGCUGCUCAUAUACUAAAUCUGAUUGUAAAAGAUGGACUGGAUGUCAUGGAGAAAGGGAUUGAGAGGGUACGAGAUAGUGUUGCAUUUUGGUCAACCACACCUAAAAGACAUGAGAAGUUUGAAAAGAUGGCACGCCUUUUGAACAAUGAAUACACGUGUAGAUUGGCUCUUGAUUGUAAAACUAGGUGGAAUUCGACCUACAUAAUGUUAAAAGGUGCAUUGCAAUACAAAGAUGUUUUUGAAAGACUUUCGAUACGUGAAAAGAAAUUUACUUGUCCAACUGGAGAAGAUUGGGUCUUUGCUAAGGAGGUUUGUGCUAGGCUGAAAGUGUUCUUUGAUGUCACAGAGUUGUUGUCGGGUACUUCAUAUGUUACAGCUAGUCUUUUCUUUCCGCAAAUAUGUGGCAUUCGGUUGGCAAUUCGUAAAUAG